UAGGAAAAAGGAUGGCUUAAUGGUCCUAAC
Molecule: non-coding RNA, 30 nt
Filed under: Homo sapiens (human)
Lineage: Eukaryota; Metazoa; Chordata; Mammalia; Primates; Hominidae
Source: RNAcentral